Molecule: ribosomal RNA, 1245 nt
Filed under: metagenome
Description: bacterial LSU rRNA
Rfam family: Bacterial large subunit ribosomal RNA
Source: RNAcentral
UGAGUACGAGAUGCUACGGCAUCGAAGCAGUCUAUGUCAUACUUCCAAGAAAAGCUUGCACUGUCAGAAACAGAUAAUGCCUGUACCAUAACCGACACAGGUGGGUAGGUAGAGUAUACUAAGGGGCGCGAGAUAACUCUCUCUAAGGAACUCGGCAAAAUGACUCCGUAACUUCGGGAGAAGGAGUGCCUUAUUUUUAAGGUUGCAAUAACAAGAUCCAAGCAACUGUUUACCAAAAACACAGGUCUCCGCUAAGUCGUAAGACGAUGUAUGGGGGCUGACGCCUGCCCAGUGCCAGAAGGUUAAAGAAGUCGGUUAGCAUUCGCGAAGCUGGUAACUGAAGCCCUGGUGAACGGCGGCCGUAACUAUAACGGUCCUAAGGUAGCGAAAUUCCUUGUCGGGUAAGUUCCGACCCGCACGAAAGGCGUAAUGAUUUGGAUACUGUCUCGGAGAGGGGCUCGGUGAAAUAGACUUGUCUGUGAAGAUGCGGACUACCUGCACCUGGACAGAGAGACCCUAUGAAGCUUUACUGUAACUUGAAAUUGAAAUUGGACUUUAUUUGCGCAGUAUAGGUGGGAGGCGUUGAAAAUAUUCUUGCGGGAAUAUUGGAGCCAUCAGUGAGAUACCACUCUUGUAAUGUUAGAUUUCUAACUUUAUAUCAUUAUCUGGUUAAAGAACAGUUUCAGGCGGGCAGUUUGACUGGGGCGGUCGCCUCCCAAAUGGUAACGGAGGCGCACAAAGGUUUCCUCUGAACGGGUAGAAAUCGUAUCUAGAGUGUAAAGGCAUAAGGAAGCUUGACUGUGAGACCUACAAGUCGAGCAGGGACGAAAGUCGGUCUUAGUGAUCUGACGGUGCUGAGUGGAAAGGCCGUCACUCAACGGAUAAAAGUUACUCUAAGGAUAACAGGCUGAUCUCCCCCAAGAGUUCACAUCGACGGGGAGGUUUGGCACCUCGAUGUCGGCUCAUCGCAUCCUGGGGCGGUAGUACGUCCCAAGGGUUGGGCUGUUCGCCCAUGAAAGCGGUACGCGAGCUGGGUUCAGAACGUCGUGAGACAGUUCGGUCCAUAUCCGGUGUAGGCGUUAGAAUAUUGAGAGGAGCCUUCUUUAGUACGAGAGGACCGAGAAGGACAUACCUCUGGUGUACCAGUUAUCGUGCCAACGGUAAACGCUGGGUAGCUAUGUAUGGAGUGGAUAACCGCUGAAAGCAUCUAAGUGGGAAGCCCACCUCAAGAUAAGUAUUCUCAUC